GACGAACGCUGGCGGCGUGCUUAACACAUGCAAGUCGAACGGAAAGGCCCUGCUUUUGUGGGGUGCUCGAGUGGCGAACGGGUGAGUAACACGUGAGUAACCUGCCCUUGACUUUGGGAUAACUUCAGGCAACUGGGGCUAAUACCGGAUAGGAGCUCCUGCUGCAUGGUGGGGGUUGGAAAGUUUCGGCGGUUGGGGAUGGACUCGCGGCUUAUCAGCUUGUUGGUGGGGUAGUGGCUUACCGAGGCUUUGACGGGUAGCCGGCCUGAGAGGGUGACCGGCCCCAUUGGGCCUGGGCUACGGCCCAGACUCCUCCGGGAGGCAGCAGUGGGGAAUAUUGCACAAUGGGCGGAAGCCUGAUGCAGCAACGCCGCGUGCGGGAUGACGGCCUUCGGGUUGUAAACCGCUUUCGCCUGUGACGAAGCGUGAGUGACGGUACUGGGUAAAGAAGCACCGGCUAACUACGUG
Molecule: ribosomal RNA, 468 nt
Filed under: uncultured bacterium
Lineage: Bacteria
Description: partial 16S ribosomal RNA
Rfam family: Bacterial small subunit ribosomal RNA
Source: RNAcentral